UUAUAUUUCCAUUUCCAUUCUCUAGGAAAUUUACCUAAUUCUUGAAUAGACUUCCUACUGUACUUUUACGAACAAAGCUUCCACUGAACCCUCUGUCUUUGUUCCAGAAACAAACUAUUGUCCCUGUCUUUCCACUUCUGGUUUUAUACAAUUUAUAUCAUUCUUGGGGAUCUUUUGCCACCUAUUUACGUAUGUUCCACCACAUCAUUAUUACAUUUAAACCGUCGCAUCAUAUUCUAAUGCAUGUUCUCGAAAG
RNAcentral lists this long non-coding RNA (256 nucleotides) under Ricinus communis (castor bean). Its description in RNAcentral is "long non-coding RNA (RCOM_LNC002922)". Lineage: Eukaryota; Viridiplantae; Streptophyta; Magnoliopsida; Malpighiales; Euphorbiaceae. The record is from RNAcentral.